Molecule: non-coding RNA, 570 nt
Organism: Pelobates cultripes (western spadefoot toad)
Lineage: Eukaryota; Metazoa; Chordata; Amphibia; Anura; Pelobatidae
Source: the annotation of a GenBank genome assembly
AUUUUUUUAAUUGGGGGUAGCCCCCAAAAUAUUGGGACAUAUAAAAAAAGAAAACAAAGAAUAAGUGCACUUGAGUAUAACAAAGGCUGGGUGAGGCCGGUAUAAAUGUCGAUUCUGCACAAGGUACAGACAAGUCUGGUGGGAUCCAUGCCUGGUUCAUUUUAAUAAACCUGAGCCGUAGACAGGCGACUGCGCUUGUCUGUGAUAACCUUGUGCCGAUCGCACGUCCCCGUGACGGCGACAACGCAUUCAGAUGUCUGCCCUAUCAACUUUCGUUUCUAUUUUCCACGCCUAUUAUUGUGACCACUGGUAACGGGGAAUCAGUGUUCGAUUCCAGAGAGGGAGCUUGAGAAACUGCUACCACAUGCAAGGAAGGCAGCAGGCGCGCAAAUUAGCCACUCCCGACGCGGGGAGGUAGUGACGACAAUUAACAAUACACUACUCUUUCGAGGCCCUGUAAUUGUAAUGAGUCCACUUUAAAUCCUUUAACUUGGAUCAAUUGGAGGGCAAGUCUGGUGCAGAGCGACUGACCUGUGCGUGCUGCAGCUGAAACUGAAGCUGCAUCAGGGU